Molecule: ribosomal RNA, 492 nt
Filed under: uncultured bacterium
Lineage: Bacteria
Description: partial 16S ribosomal RNA
Rfam family: Bacterial small subunit ribosomal RNA
Source: RNAcentral
AGUGAACGCUGGCGGUAGGCCUAACACAUGCAAGUCGAACGGCCGCACAGUAAGAGCUUGCUCUUACGGGUGGCGAGUGGCGGACGGGUGAGGAAUACAUCGGAAUCUACUUUUUCGUGGGGGAUAACGUAGGGAAACUUACGCUAAUACCGCAUACGUCCUACGGGUGAAAGCAGGAGAUCUUCGCACCUUGCGCGACUGAAUGAGCUGAUGUCGGAUUAGCUAGUUGGCGGGGUAAAGGCACACCAAGGCGACGAUCCGUAGCUGGUCUGAGAGGAUGAUCAGCCACACUGGAACUGAGACACGGUCCAGACUCCUACGGGAGGCAGCAGUGGGGAAUAUUGGACAAUGGGCGCAAGCCUGAUCCAGCCAUACCGCGUGGGUGAAGAAGGCCUUCGGGUUGUAAAGCCCUUUUGUUGGGAAAGAAAAGCAGCAUGUGAAUACCCCGCUGUUCUGACGGUACCCAAAGAAUAAGCACCGGCUAACUUCGUG